AUGAGUAGGGCGGGACACGUGGUAUCCUGUCUGAAUAUGGGGGGACCAUCCUCCAAGGCUAAAUACUCCUGACUGACCGAUAGUGAACCAGUACCGUGAGGGAAAGGCGAAAAGAACCCCGGCGAGGGGAGUGAAAAAGAACCUGAAACCGUGUACGUACAAGCAGUGGGAGCCUCUUUAUGGGGUGACUGCGUACCUUUUGUAUAAUGGGUCAGCGACUUAUAUUCUGUAGCAAGGUUAACCGAAUAGGGGAGCCGAAGGGAAACCGAGUCUUAACUGGGCGUUAAGUUGCAGGGUAUAGACCCGAAACCCGGUGAUCUAGCCAUGGGCAGGUUGAAGGUUGGGUAACACUAACUGGAGGACCGAACCGACUAAUGUUGAAAAAUUAGCGGAUGACUUGUGGCUGGGGGUGAAAGGCCAAUCAAACCGGGAGAUAGCUGGUUCUCCCCGAAAGCUAUUUAGGUAGCGCCUCGUGAAUUCAUCUCCGGGGGUAGAGCACUGUUUCGGCAAGGGGGUCAUCCCGACUUACCAACCCGAUGCAAACUGCGAAUACCGGAGAAUGUUAUCACGGGAGACACACGGCGGGUGCUAACGUCCGUCGUGAAGAGGGAAACAACCCAGACCGCCAGCUAAGGUCCCAAAGUCAUGGUUAAGUGGGAAACGAUGUGGGAAGGCCCAGACAGCCAGGAUGUUGGCUUAGAAGCAGCCAUCAUUUAAAGAAAGCGUAAUAGCUCACUGGUCGAGUCGGCCUGCGCGGAAGAUGUAACGGGGCUAAACCAUG
RNAcentral lists this ribosomal RNA (781 nucleotides) under Escherichia coli. RNAcentral describes it as "partial 23S ribosomal RNA". It matches the Rfam family "Bacterial large subunit ribosomal RNA", at positions 408 to 1191 of the family's 2925-position model. The record is from RNAcentral. Lineage: Bacteria; Pseudomonadati; Pseudomonadota; Gammaproteobacteria; Enterobacterales; Enterobacteriaceae.